This is a long non-coding RNA of Tyto alba (common barn owl), 1677 nucleotides long. RefSeq lists it as uncharacterized. Lineage: Eukaryota; Metazoa; Chordata; Aves; Strigiformes; Tytonidae. The record is from RefSeq and is a predicted model, not a curated record. The transcript has 2 exons.
CCUUUAUCACCGACCUGCCUGUAAAUGUACAAAUCCCUGGAUGAAGGUUUAUUUCACCGUUCUGUGGCUAACACCGUACCGUCGGCUGUUGUUUUAGCGGGUUGCUGACUGCAGGGAGCAUCACUGAUUCUGAGAAGCCUACGCCGACGUUGCCUGGGGACGGCGGAAGGCCUGUGUGCUUCUGUCGUUCCUUGCCACGCGUGUCCGGGGGGCCGGCCUGAGGCCGCCCUCCCGCGCACUGCCCGGCCGCCGCGGCACAGCGCCGGGGGCAGCCAUGCAUCGCACGCAUCUUGAUGUCUGCUGGUGCUACAGCGUGGGGGCCCGAGGGGGAGAACGUCUCCCAGAGCUUCUCCCCGUUCUUUUGCGGUGGGGAGGAGGCAGCUGCAGCGCAGGGCUCGACCUACUGCACCGUCCCGCCGCCGGGUUAAACACGGGAAUAUCGCAUUUUCAGUACUGUUAACACGUGGCAAAAGGGACAUCAGCCUGCAAACCGAGAGACACGGUGGCUGGAAGAUAGGUGAGGCGACAACCUCCACUGACUUCUCCCCGCUCGGAGCCUGUUACCGCCUCACGUGUGCUGAGGUCUGCGUACUCCCCAGUACAGGCUUGGGUGAAAAAGGUUGGAAGUAGGAGCUGCACAGCUUUCAGACCGGGAUAUUUUUAUGCAAAUAUGUGUUAUUUUUGCACAAUGCUUUUUUUUUUUUUUUUAAUAUUAUUUUUGUUAUCUGAAGCUGCUGAACCAUCUAGUAUUUAGUGUAUUACAUUAAAGUUAAUGGCUCUGGUUUGGAGAGCUAUUCUGCUUUCCUUAAAAAUGUCAAGGGGGGGAAGAGUGAAGUGAUGUUUGUUUCCAUUUUUUUUUUCAUCAAAAAGUGGACAACAGUCAAAACUGAUUGAAAAAUAUAACCUUGAAGCAGAAGGUAUAUACACACACACGCACAUGAAGGGGAAUUUGCAGGUAAAUUAGUUUAUCGUGUAUUGCAAAGAUAUGUGUGUUAUCAAGUACAGCUACCCAACAUAUCACAUCACUAUUUGGCAUUAUAACAUGCAAGCACAUAAUUAACAUUUAAAAAAAAAAAAAAAAAGUCAAAACCCAAAGGCUGUCACUGUAAAUUGCUUCUAGUUGCUCUUCAGAUUAGAAUAAUUUUUCAUAAUUUUUCCUCCCGUUUACUGACUUUUCUAUUUCUCCUUCUUUUAUUUACUGUAAUACCAUAGGGGAAAAAAGUGAAAAGAUUACAUGAUUUUUGGAGGGCCACUUUUCAUACUAGAAAGAAAACCUAUUAAGCACAGUAUUUCCCAAGAAAAUCUCACGAGCAACUAGGUUUCAGAAAAUUAACAGCCCAACCAGAUCUUGGAAAGAUGAUGUUAUUCUUCAGAUUGUUCUACCCACAGUGACUGAAACAUCAGUUUCAGUUUUAUGUCACAGAAAUACGCAACUUCAUUUUAGUAGGGAAGUGACCUUCCCAUUGUAUAGACACUGGUGAGAACAAUGUUACUCAGUGUUGAUGUUCAUGUUUAGUGACAUAAAUUAUUGAAAUAUUGGGGAAAUGCCAUAAAAACAAUCCAACAUCAAGGAAAGAAACCUUAUGGUACAGGACCUACAGAGCAAAACUAAUACAGCUCUUUGGAAUGAUGAAAGAUGUACAAAUAAAAGCUACCUUAUUAUGAGGUAUUUUUCAA